UACGUAGGGGGCAAGCGUUGUCCGGAUUCAUUGGGCGUAAAGAGCUCGUAGGCGGUUCAGUAAGUCGGGUGUGAAAGCUCCGAGCUCAACUCGGAGAGGCCACCCGAUACUGCUGUGACUUGAGUCCAGUAGAGGAGCGUGGAAUUCCUGGUGUAGCGGUGAAAUGCGCAGAUAUCAGGAGGAACACCAGUGGCGAAGGCGACUUCCUGGCCUGUUCUUGACGCUGAGGCGCGAAAGCUAGGGGAGCAAACGGG
Molecule: ribosomal RNA, 254 nt
Filed under: uncultured bacterium
Lineage: Bacteria
Description: partial 16S ribosomal RNA
Rfam family: Bacterial small subunit ribosomal RNA
Source: RNAcentral